Molecule: transfer RNA, 75 nt
Filed under: Streptantibioticus parmotrematis
Lineage: Bacteria; Bacillati; Actinomycetota; Actinomycetes; Kitasatosporales; Streptomycetaceae
Description: tRNA-Val
Rfam family: tRNA
About the family: Transfer RNA (tRNA) molecules are approximately 80 nucleotides in length. Their secondary structure includes four short double-helical elements and three loops (D, anti-codon, and T loops).
Source: RNAcentral
GGGCGAUUAGCUCAGCGGAAGAGUGCUUCGUUCACACCGAAGAGGUCACUGGUUCGAACCCAGUAUCGCCCACCA